This 451-nucleotide ribosomal RNA is filed under the name uncultured bacterium. Its description in RNAcentral is "bacterial SSU rRNA". It matches the Rfam family "Bacterial small subunit ribosomal RNA", at positions 29 to 523 of the family's 1533-position model. The record is from RNAcentral.
AGCGAACGCUGGCGGCAGGCUUAACACAUGCAAGUCGAACGGGCGUAGCAAUACGUCAGUGGCAGACGGGUGAGUAACGCGUGGGAACGUACCUUUUGGUUCGGAACAACCCAGGGAAACUUGGGCUAAUACCGGAUAAGCCCUUACGGGGAAAGAUUUAUCGCCGAAAGAUCGGCCCGCGUCUGAUUAGCUAGUUGGUGAGGUAACGGCUCACCAAGGCGACGAUCAGUAGCUGGUCUGAGAGGANGAUCAGCCACAUUGGGACUGAGACACGGCCCAAACUCCUACGGGAGGCAGCAGUGGGGAAUAUUGGACAAUGGGCGCAAGCCUGAUCCAGCCAUGCCGCGUGAGUGAUGAAGGCCCUAGGGUUGUAAAGCUCUUUUGUGCGGGAAGAUAAUGACGGUACCGCAAGAAUAAGCCCCGGCUAACUUCGUGCCAGCAGCCGCAGUAA